Molecule: long non-coding RNA, 414 nt
Organism: Marmota monax (woodchuck)
Lineage: Eukaryota; Metazoa; Chordata; Mammalia; Rodentia; Sciuridae
Exons: 3
Source: RefSeq, a predicted model, not a curated record
GGGUGGGGCAAGGGAGGAUAGAGAGAUUGCUGUGCGGUGAGGAAAUCUGCCUGGAGGGCAAGGAGGUGGCGCCCUACUAGGAGAAGAUGCAAAAGUGAGCUUCCUGGGGGGCUUCCUGUAACACUGACCCAGACUAGUUCCUGGCUCUACCAUCUGGAACAGCGUCAAGGCCGGAUUCAGGACAACUUGUUGGAAACAAAGCUCAUAAACUCGGCACUCAACUGGGAGCAGGCUGCCAACAGAAAUUGGACUAAGUGCUUCAAAAGAGACUUGAGUGGACUUCCUGCAUCAGGAAGGCACAGCAGGUGGCGCCAUCCCUGAAGGAGAGUCACACCAGACACCAUGUCUGUCAACAACUUGAUCUUGGACUUUCAGCCCUCCAGAACCUUGAGAAUAAAUUCUGUUGUCUAUAAA